This 835-nucleotide long non-coding RNA is filed under the name Solanum tuberosum (potato). RNAcentral's name for it is "long non-coding RNA (STUB_LNC005936)". The record is from RNAcentral. Lineage: Eukaryota; Viridiplantae; Streptophyta; Magnoliopsida; Solanales; Solanaceae.
UUCAAUUGGCCGAUGUUACACGGAAAAGUCAAUUCCUUUUUGAGCAAGAUGAGGCCAAAGGUAGGAGUUAAUAUUAUACAUGUGUUUAAAAUUGGGAAGGAGAAUCAUUCAGGCUCAGGUUUAUAUUACUAGCUUUGGAUGCAGAGAGUUGUGUAAACAACGAGAGUAUAGUGGUGUGCAAGUUCUUUGCUUCAAACUGCACAAUUGAAUGUGCUCCAUUUGUCAACAAACUCCUUUUUGUGUACUAUAAUCCAAACAAUUCAUGUCAAAGUGAUAGGUGCUGCUACUUCAAAGGGACAUUCGUCAAAGAUGCUAUCCAUUGCUGGCCAGGAUUUGUAGGGAUGCUUUUUCUUAUUGCAGCAACUGGUUACUAGUUAGCCUAAUUUGCGUAUUUGCUUGCUUAGAAUUGCUGUUUCCAGAGCUUCUGGUCAGUCCUAUAAAAUGUUUGUAAAUCACUGAUUUUGUUGGGUUUUGUUAUUGUUUUUCUUAUUAAAGUGAUAGAUGCUGCUACUGCUGAGAGCCUAUCAUCAAUGAUUGUAUCUCUUUCUGGCCAGGAUUUGUAUGGGCGUUUUUUUGGUUGUGCUACCAAUUUGUUACUACUUACUCUAAAUUUGUAUGAGACUAGUUAGUCUCAAUGAUUUGUAUAAGCCGACCUCCACGAGGUAGGGGUAAGGUCUGCGUACACCCUACCCUCCCGAGAUUCCACCACACCAAUGGGAUUUCACUGUGUAUGUUGUUGUUGUUAGUCUAAUUUGUGUAUUUGCUCACUUGGAACUUCUGUUUCCAGGGCUUCAGGUAAGUCCUAUGAAAUGGUAUGUAAAACGCUUAGUAUGGA